This 2181-nucleotide long non-coding RNA is filed under the name Nicotiana benthamiana. RNAcentral's name for it is "long non-coding RNA (NBEN_LNC040594)". The record is from RNAcentral. Lineage: Eukaryota; Viridiplantae; Streptophyta; Magnoliopsida; Solanales; Solanaceae.
UUGUAAACCUAAGGAUUAACUCUAAUCCCAGUGUGGCACACAACCUCAACUAUUGCGACACCUUCAAGUUAACUCUAAUUUGAAUACUCAAAGUACCUAAUAUAAUUGCUUCUAUAAAAGUUGGAAAGGUAUAAUUUUAAACCACCAAGUACAAUUGAACUAGACUAAGAACAAAAAAAAUGAAACUAGUUUUUCUAUCUCGUUUAAGUAGCUGCAGGAGUGCACACUUUAAUCUCACAUAAAUUGCUUGCAAAAUUACCUUGCUUUUUUCCUCUCAAUUUAGUUUAACUUCUGCGUAUGUGCAUACCUACAAAAGAGAACAAACUUCGUUACUUAUUAAGUUAGUAAUAAGAGUUUGAUUGAGACUUAAUUUCCUAACGAAGCUACAACAACUCUCGAAAUUUCAUUCCGACCCUCGUAUCAAAAUCUCACCUAUCAACCGGAAUUCGCCAAAAUACUAACUUUGUCAAUUCAAGCCUAAUUUUACACCGAACAUCCAAAAUCACUUCCGGUCACACUUCUAGGUCACAAAUCAUCCUCGAAAGAUAACAGAAUCAUCGGAAUCCAUAUUCGAGCCUCCUAACACAUAAGUCAACGUCCAGUUGACUUUUCCAAAACAAGCCUUCCUUAAAUAGACUAAGUGUCUCAUUUCCUUCUAAAAUCAAUUCACUCGUUCACACAAGACUUUUAUAAUGAAGCAUAAAGAAGCAUAAAAUAGGGAAAACGGGGCGGUAACUCACGUGACGACGAGUCGAGUCGUCACAGAACCGUACCUGUAGCUACGAUAGUUUUUAUGAUAGCGCGCCUAAAACAAACUAUGAAGGUUCAUAAAUAUAACGGCCUAAGCAUGAUCCUACUGACUAAAAGUUGAAAUAAAGUAAAUAAACAAAAUAAACAUAACUGUAAUUUUACUUCGUAUGCAAACAACAACGAUAAUCCGAUUUCCAUUCAAUUUCAAUUAAUAAGAUUUUUUUGUCUUCCAACAGAAGAAAUCAAACUAAUUUUAUACCAUUAUAUUUAACCAAGUAAUUACAUCAAUGCACCAGGAACAAACACCGAGUAACUGAGAACUGCACACCGAAACUCGAACAUAUACUAGCUGUAAUAUUAACUCUAGAUUCUAAAAGUAAUUCAUGAAAUUAGACCUAGUAUUAACUUAAGGAAUAAAGCCAGUUCAAUUCUAUUCAAGUGCUUCCAAUUAUACUAGUAAUAUUUUAUACCUUAAAAACAAUUGAUUGAAUUUCUCUUUUCUUAAGAGCUUAUAUCUAUUUUCAACAUAUUGAUCUAAGCAAGUACUAACCAAUGAAUAUUGCACUAAAUUGGUGAAUGAACUAGCUCAAACAAACGAUGAAAUUUUGAUUAAGGGCGUACAUCCGUCUUAAAAUAUCACAAACGGGCCAAAAUUCACACAACUUUUUUGUUCAACCAUCAUAUAAGACACAAUCAACAAAUAAAGGUUAAAAUAGUGACGGACCUCAAAUCGAAGUAAUUUUGAAUCUGGAAAUGCUUAGCGCCAGAGAACUUGGACAGCGACAACCUCGACAGAAAAUGAGCUUCAACUCUCAAAAAUCUCCAUAUUUCAGAAGCUAUAUUUUAAGAAAAAGAGAAAUACCUUUUUUGUACUUUUCCGAUUCUUCAAGAUGAAAGCAGGCUAAGCAGAGAACUGAAAAUCCUUUUUUUAUUGGUUUUCAAAAAUAAAGAACCCAGCUGAAAAUCUGAAAAUCCAAUCAAAUCUCUAUCCCAAAAUCGCAUGUCCUUUCUUCCCUCUCCUUUCACUUCUUUGUUUCUUUUCUUUGCAGGUGGUGGCUCUAGAAUGGUAGAGGAGUGGCUGCUCGAUCUUUUGGUUCAGAAAAAAGAGAUGAUCCAGGGUUCUCUUGGAGAUUUUUGUGGUUGAGCUCCAAGUGAGUAACUGUUGUUCUCUUGUUUCCGGCAACAAGAGAGACACACAGAGAGAGCUUUUGAGGGAGGUGGAGGUCGGCUGUUGUGUUAGACCGUUCCCAGAUGUUCGGUGGUCGAUUUGGCUCAAGGUUGGAGGAAAAUUCUCUGGUGUGUUAUCACCGGAUUUCGGCAGUAAGGAGAUGGGGAGUGCCGCGGCUAUGCCAGGAUAUGGUUAAGGCCUCGAAAGUUUUUCGGCCGCUGAUCUUGUUCUCUAAGGUCCGUAGGGCAUUUUGUUCUUUUGGG